Molecule: ribosomal RNA, 375 nt
Filed under: uncultured organism
Description: bacterial SSU rRNA
Rfam family: Archaeal small subunit ribosomal RNA
Source: RNAcentral
CCAGCACCCCGAGUGGUCGGGACGAUUGUUGGGCCUAAAGCAUCCGUAGCCGGUUUUACAAGUCCCCCGUUAAAUCCAGCUGCUUAACAGAUGGGCUGCGGAGGAUACUAUAAGACUAGGAGGCAGGAGAGGCAAGCGGUACUCAGUGGGUAGGGGUAAAAUCCGUUGAUCCAUUGAAGACCACCAGUGGCGAAGGCGGCUUGCCAGAAUGCGCUCGACGGUGAGGGAUGAAAGCUGGGGGAGCAAACCGGAUUAGAUACCCGGGUAGUCCCAGCUGUAAACGAUGCAGACUCGGUGAUGGACUAGCUUUAUGCUAGUCCAGUGCCGCAGGGAAGCCGUUAAGUCUGCCGCCUGGGUAGUACGGUCGCAAGACUG